UACAGAGGUCCCGAGCGUUGUUCGGAUUCACUGGGCGUAAAGGGUGCGUAGGUGGCUUAGUAAGUUUGAUGUGAAAGCUCAGGGCUUAACCCUGAAAUGGCAUUGAAUACUGCUGUGCUGGAGGUUUGGAGGGGGGACUGGAAUUCUUGGUGGAGCAGUGAAAUGCGUAGAUAUCAAGAGGAACACCAGUGGCGAAGGCGAGUCCCUGGACAACACCUGACACUGAGGCACGAAAGCUAGGGGAGCAAACAGG
RNAcentral lists this ribosomal RNA (253 nucleotides) under uncultured bacterium. RNAcentral describes it as "partial 16S ribosomal RNA". It matches the Rfam family "Bacterial small subunit ribosomal RNA", at positions 524 to 776 of the family's 1533-position model. The record is from RNAcentral.